AAUUAGUAUAUACUGUACACCUAUCUUCCAAAUAGAAGGACUCAAAUAAUCUGAGGUU
RNAcentral lists this transfer RNA (58 nucleotides) under Mexistrophia reticulata. RNAcentral's name for it is "tRNA-Gly". The record is from RNAcentral. Lineage: Eukaryota; Metazoa; Mollusca; Gastropoda; Stylommatophora; Cerionidae.